RNAcentral lists this ribosomal RNA (303 nucleotides) under uncultured bacterium. Its description in RNAcentral is "partial 16S ribosomal RNA". It matches the Rfam family "Bacterial small subunit ribosomal RNA", at positions 507 to 809 of the family's 1533-position model. The record is from RNAcentral.
AGCAGCAGCCGCGGUAAUACGUAGGUGGCGAGCGUUGUCCGGAAUUAUUGGGCGUAAAGGGAGCGCAGGCGGACAUAUAAGUCCAUCUUAAAAGUGCGGGGCUCAACCCCGUGAGGGGAUGGAAACUGUAUGCCUUGAGUGCAGGAGAGGAAAGCGGAAUUCCCAGUGUAGCGGUGAAAUGCGUAGAUAUUGGGAGGAACACCAGUGGCGAAGGCGGCUUUCUGGACUGCAACUGACGCUGAGGCUCGAAAGCCAGGGGAGCAAAUGGGAUUAGAUACCCCCGUAGUCCCUGUCUCUUAUACA